Molecule: ribosomal RNA, 39 nt
Filed under: Ourisia microphylla
Lineage: Eukaryota; Viridiplantae; Streptophyta; Magnoliopsida; Lamiales; Plantaginaceae
Also listed under: 25 other names
Description: partial 18S ribosomal RNA
Source: RNAcentral
UACCUGGUUGAUCCUGCCAGUAGUCAUAUGCUUGUCUCA